This 592-nucleotide unclassified non-coding RNA is filed under the name Hevea brasiliensis (rubber tree). The record is from RNAcentral. Lineage: Eukaryota; Viridiplantae; Streptophyta; Magnoliopsida; Malpighiales; Euphorbiaceae.
AGGAGUUUAUUGAGACAGCAUAAGAGAUUAUUGGGAGCAGGAUCAUCAUGUCACUUAUUUAACUUACAGAUUCCCAUUAAUGGUUCAAAGUCGUGACUUGGAUUUUUCUGAUUGCGGUAAUUUACGGUAAUCGUAUACGCCUAUUCCCCGCUUUCUUCCCAGGCGGCCAGCAUCGACGUACUGCACGAGAAGAGGGCAGGGAGCAUAUUUAUUGUCACCAAGUCCAGAGUGGAGAACCUUCAUGAUUGAUAAACAAACAUCCAAACCAAUGAAGUCUGCAAGCUCCAAGGGACCCAUGGGAUGAUUUGUUCCUAGCUUCAUUCCCGUGUCGAUGUCUUCCUUCGUUGCCACUCCCGUGAAGAGAGCAAAAAAUGCCUCGUUAAUCAUCGGCAUUAGGAUUCUGUUCACGAUGAAGCCAGAGUAGUCCUGAGAACAUAUCACUGUUUUACCAAGCCUCUCAGCCAAGAUUUUUAUGGCAUCGAAUGUUUCAUUGGAUGUAUCCGCACCUCGAACGAUCUCAACCAGUUUCAUUAUAGGUGGGGGAUUCAUGAAAUGCAUGCCAAUAACCUGCUCAGGACGUGUGGUUGCUGAU